AUAUUCCUUGUUCAUUCAGAUUUUGUAGAUUUCACGCGUCAACCCUAACAGCAAAGCUCUUCUCUGAGUCUCAGGUUCUUUCUUUCUCAUUUACUCAUCCAAUUGCUUCUAUUAUUUUCCUCCCAUUUGCAUUGGUCAGAAAGCUAAGGAAAGUAUAAUAGAAGUAGACUCAAGUUAUUAUUUUCUUAAUUUCUCUCUUUUAGUUUUGCAUUUGGUAUUUUAUGGCAAAAGACUGAAUGAAAUAUGACGAGUUAGAGUGACCUGUUGAUUUUACUUUCAUUUUUUGUUGGUAUUGACAUCGAAAUACAGAUUAUUUUAUGAAAAUUUGUUAUUUGCCUCUUUGAUGAUUGACUGUAUUGAUGGUUAUAUGGGAUGAUUUGUUGUUUGCUUGCUGAACAUAAACGGCUGAAUUGGGAAUUGGCCAUUAGGUGAACUGAAAUGUUAUCCCUCUCCUAAUUUGAUUAAUUGGUUUCCUAAUCUAAUUAAUUUCCUAAUUAUGGUGUGUGUUAAUUUUUUUAAUUAUGGUGUUACCUAUUUUUUUUUUUUUUAAAUAUAAAAGAUCUAUCAGAUUAGGCAUACACAGCAUGGGUUAUGCUUUAUGUCCUCGUAAUCAUAUAACAAAUGGAAUAAAUUGUAUCUCAAAAUGCUUUAUGUCCUCUAAGCAGGUCAUUUCUGUUAUGAGAGUGGCUAGUGAUAAAUAAAUUGUACAGCCUGACAUCUCACAAGUUGCAUAAUGCAUCUUAGAAAGUUCAUGUGUGGACAACUCUUGGGGAAAAACAAUUUUAGUAGUCAUACUUGAUGGAAGGUAGCUCCAAGGUUAAUAGGAAUUAGGAAGUUGAAAGUGAAGAUAAAAUUUUUGCCUAUGUAGAAGUUUUUGUUAGUGUUGUUUUCUCUGGUUAUGUGGGGUACUUUCUUCAUCUUUUUUCUUCUUUUUCUUAUUCUCAGUCACCGGAUUCCUGAUCUCAUGUCUGUUUUGCAAGGAUUUUUAUUCACACCCUGAAUUAUUGCUACCUUGAUUCAGGUUAUCUACUGAUGGACACACAGGAAAUAGAGGAGAAACCAUCUGAAGCCAUUCCAGCAACUGCAUCUCAAAAGAAGCAAGAAACUCGUGAUGAAAUGCUAUCUAGGCACAGGUAGACAAAUUUGACUUUGAGACCAAUUAUUGUCUCUUUAUUACCUUUUGGGCAGAUUCCAGUGUCUUAAUUGUUAUGGUACCAUAUUGGAGGCUAUUUCAUGAUAACUAGAUCCUUCAUAUAUUCUGUAAUUUUGGAUAGCAUUCUGAUGUACAACUAUACAAGUAGGUGGUUCAGUAUGACAGCAUUAUUGUUAGAAUUGUAAUGGAGAAGGCAGUAUUUAGAAAUCUUCUAUUACCUUUUCAAAAACUUUUAAAUUUGAAUGCUCUGCAAGUGAAGUUUGCAUUUUCUGUACCUUUCCAAAUGAUGCGCCAGUUUAAUGUUUCAUAUCAGAUUUAAUUGUAACUUACAGCAAUUAUUUAUGGGAAAAUAUCAAUUUGUAAGAUUGGUGUUCCACUGAAUUGCUAAUUCACAUCAAGGCACAUGUCUAAAAUUAUGCAUGCAGAAAGGAGAUAGCAGAACUGCAGAGCAAAGAAAUUGAACUGAAAAAGGCUGCAGCAAAAGGUAGCAAGGCUGAACAAAAGGCUAAGAAGAAGCAGGUUGAAGAGCAGAUCUCUAAACUUUCUACUGAGCUAAAAGAGAAGCAUACUGAAGAACUUGCUUCAUUAGGCUAUAGCAGCAGCAGUAAUGGAAAUGAGAAAAGCAACCUUGACAAUUUGGUCAAGGCCAUAGCUGGUGUUUCUGUUACAAACCAACCAGAACAGUCCAAGGUCAGCAAGAGUGCAAAGAAAAAGGGAAAAAGAGCUCAGCAAGAGGCAGAAAGGGAGCGAAGAAUUCAAGAAGAGCAGAGCAACCUUGUAAGUGAUAGAAUGAUUGAAAAUGACAAAUUGAAACAAAAGCUAGAACCACUUGGAUUGACUGUUAAUGAAAUCAAGCCCGAUGGGCACUGCCUCUACAGAGCCAUUGAGAAUCAGCUAGCUGUCCUUUCUGGAGGUUCUUCUCCCUAUACAUACCAAGACCUUCGAAAAAUGGUGGCAGCUUAUAUGAGAGAACAUGCAUCACAGUUCCUUCCCUUUUUCCAAUCAGAAAAUAUGAUGGAAGGAGAUUCUGAUAUUUCACUGGAAGAAAGAUUUGAGAAUUACUGUAAAGAAGUGGAGUGUACAUCAGCAUGGGGUGGGCAACUAGAGUUGGGGGCCUUAAUUCAUUGUCUCAGGAGACCUAUCAUGAUAUAUUCAGGUUCCUUCCCUGAUGUGGAGAUGGGGAAAGAGUACAAAUUUGAAUCAUCCAGUGGAAGCAUAUUGUUGUCAUACCAUAAACAUGCAUUUGGGCUUGGGGAGCACUAUAAUUCUGUCGUGCCAAACUUGAUCAGGUAGGCACCGCUAUAUCACCUGGGAAGAGUUACUUUUUGCAAUGCAGGUUUAUUUUUCUGUAUUGUUGCGAGGGAAUAGACAAUUUAUAGCCUUAAAUUAAAAAUUAAAGCUGCAUUUGCAUAGUAUUAACAUCUGCAGAAAAUUCAUGAUAGAGUUGCAGAUGGUGGAUUAGGACAAAACACAAUGGGUAUGUUCACCGAUAAGAACCAAAAUUUUAUGGUCUCAUGUAUAACCAUACAAUAAAGUAUGGAAUUAUAUAAAAUUAAUGUCGAGUAAUGAAAAUAUUGUAAUUUGACUAUGCUUGUGAGUGAUUGAAAUCUAUCCUCCAAAGGGUCAAGCCCUGAGAGUCACUUUGUUGUGACGUAAAGCGAAACCAAGUCCAAACGGAUGAAUGGUGCUUGCCAAGAACUUGAUUACCCAAAAUUUCCAUGACUUCUUUGAAAAAAACAGUCAAAGAAGAUUUAUAAUUUUCAUUUUUUCCCGCUUUACUUACUGUUG
This 2941-nucleotide unclassified non-coding RNA is filed under the name Hevea brasiliensis (rubber tree). Lineage: Eukaryota; Viridiplantae; Streptophyta; Magnoliopsida; Malpighiales; Euphorbiaceae. The record is from RNAcentral.